RNAcentral lists this ribosomal RNA (507 nucleotides) under uncultured bacterium. Its description in RNAcentral is "partial 16S ribosomal RNA". It matches the Rfam family "Bacterial small subunit ribosomal RNA", at positions 28 to 507 of the family's 1533-position model. The record is from RNAcentral.
GACGAACGCUGGCGGCGUGCCUAAUACAUGCAAGUCGAACGCAUUUUCUUUCACCGUAGCUUGCUACACCGACAGAAAAUGAGUGGCGAACGGGUGAGUAACACGUGGGUAACCUGCCCAUCAGCGGGGGAUAACACUUGGAAACAGGUGCUAAUACCGCAUAAUUCCAUUUACCGCAUGGUAGAUGGAUGAAAGGCGCUUUUGCGUCACUGAUGGAUGGACCCGCGGUGCAUUAGCUAGUUGGUGGGGUAACGGCCUACCAAGGCUGCGAUGCAUAGCCGACCUGAGAGGGUGAUCGGCCACACUGGGACUGAGACACGGCCCAGACUCCUACGGGAGGCAGCAGUAGGGAAUCUUCGGCAAUAGACGCAAGUCUGACCGAGCAACGCCGCGUGAGUGAAGAAGGUUUUCGGAUCGUAAAACUCUGUUGUUAGAGAAGAACAAGGAUGAGAGUGGAAAGUUCAUCCCUUGACGGUAUCUAACCAGAAAGCCACGGCUAACUACGUG